GACGAACGCUGGCGGCGCGCCUAACACAUGCAAGUCGAGCGGACCGAGAGUAUUAGCUUGCUGAGACUCAAGGUUAGCGGCGGACGGGUGAGUAACGCGUGGGCAACCUACCCAAGAGGCUGGGAUAACACCGGGAAACUGGUGCUAAUACCGGAUACGCUCUCCGGAGGACAUCCUUUGGAGAGGAAAGGGGCAACCCGCUCCUGGAUGGGCCCGCGUCCCAUUAGCUAGUUGGAGAGGUAACGGCUCACCAAGGCGACGAUGGGUAGCCGGCCUGAGAGGGUGGUCGGCCACACUGGAACUGAGACACGGUCCAGACUCCUACGGGAGGCAGCAGUGGGGAAUCUUGCGCAAUGGAGGAAACUCUGACGCAGCGACGCCGCGUGGGUGAUGAAGGCCUUCGGGUCGUAAAGCCCUGUCGUAGGGACGAAAGUACAAUGACGGUACCCUACCAAGAAAGACCCGGCGUAACUAACCGUG
This 480-nucleotide ribosomal RNA is filed under the name uncultured bacterium. RNAcentral describes it as "bacterial SSU rRNA". It matches the Rfam family "Bacterial small subunit ribosomal RNA", at positions 28 to 505 of the family's 1533-position model. The record is from RNAcentral.